GUUAACUGUGAUGAGUCUUUAACAGACCUGUAAUGAAUUGCGGGUAUGAUCGCAUUUUUAUUGAACAUCUAAGGGACUGAGUUAACUAGUUAUUCUUCCACUUUUCUUAAUUUGAUGCUUAUAUAGUUAUUUUGUUGUUUAUAAUUUGAUUUGAAGUGUUUUUACUUUGGUAGAUAAUGAUGAAGCAAAAUAUAUAAUCCAACACUUGAUCUGAUAUAGUGAUGCCAAAUAUAUCUAUUACGUUUCUGAAUCUACAUUUUGGGCUAUAAUGGCAAUGUUUUGCUUUUAGAUUAAUUUUCAUCAAAUGUUGUGUUAAUUUAUAAUUUGUAAAUAUUUGAGGAGUUUGAAUUUGCACUAUCAUGUGAUGAGUUUGGAAUAAAUCUUAGGACACCUUCCUACACAACAUAUGUUGUGGAUGAGAUGAACUUUCCAUUCUGAUGAUGUGCAUAAUUCAUACUUGUCUUUAAUUUCUUAUUUUCUAACAUCAUGUUAAAUUUUGAUUAGCCCUAUGUAACUUUUUUAUUUGGCCUUCAUAAUCCCAGUUAAGAUUGAAUAUUGAAGUUCUUAAACUGAUUCAUGGGAGGCCAAAAUUAAGUGUUGGAAGUUUCGCUGAUAAAUGCCAUAUUUGAUUAUUACAUCAAGGUGUUUACUAGUAACUAUGCCGCAUAUUC
Molecule: long non-coding RNA, 671 nt
Filed under: Medicago truncatula (barrel medic)
Lineage: Eukaryota; Viridiplantae; Streptophyta; Magnoliopsida; Fabales; Fabaceae
Source: RNAcentral